RNAcentral lists this ribosomal RNA (695 nucleotides) under uncultured cyanobacterium. RNAcentral's name for it is "bacterial SSU rRNA". It matches the Rfam family "Bacterial small subunit ribosomal RNA", at positions 566 to 1248 of the family's 1533-position model. Lineage: Bacteria; Bacillati; Cyanobacteriota. The record is from RNAcentral.
CGUCCGUAGGCGGCAUUAUAAGUCUGCUGUCAAAGACCGCAGCUCAACUGCGGAGAGGCAGUGGAAACUGUAAAGCUAGAGUCUGGUAGGGGUAGAGGGAAUCCCAGUGUAGCGGUGAAAUGCGUAGAGAUUGGGAAGAACACCAGUGGCGAAAGCGCUCUGCUGGGCCAGAACUGACGCUGAGGGACGAAAGCUAGGGGAGCGAAAGGGAUUAGAUACCCCUGUAGUCCUAGCUGUAAACGAUGGAUACUAGGCGUAGCUUGUAUCGACCCGAGCUGUGCCGAAGCUAACGCGUUAAGUAUCCCGCCUGGGGAGUACGCACGCAAGUGUGAAACUCAAAGGAAUUGACCGGGGCCCGCACAAGCGGUGGAGUAUGUGGUUUAAUUCGAUGCAACGCGAAGAACCUUACCAGGCCUUGACAUGUCGCGAAUCUGGGGGAAACCUCGGAGUGCCUUCGGGAACGCGAGCACAGGUGGUGCAUGGCUGUCGUCAGCUCGUGUCGUUGAGAUGCUGUGGUUAAGUCCCCGCAACCGAGUCGCAACUCCUCGUACCUUAGUUGGCCAGCCCUUAACGUGGGGCACUCUACGGGAGACUGUCCGGUGACAAAUCUCGGAGGAAGGUGGGGAUGACGUCAAGUCAUCAUGCCCCUUACGUCUUGGGUUACACACGUACUACAAUGGUAGGGACAAAGGGCA